This 433-nucleotide ribosomal RNA is filed under the name uncultured bacterium. Its description in RNAcentral is "partial 16S ribosomal RNA". It matches the Rfam family "Bacterial small subunit ribosomal RNA", at positions 29 to 507 of the family's 1533-position model. The record is from RNAcentral.
AACGAACGCUGGCGGCAUGCCUAACACAUGCCAGUCGAACGAGACCUUCGGGUCUAGUGGCGCACGGGUGCGUAACGCGUGGGAACCUGCCCUUAGGUUCGGAAUAACUCCCCGACAGGGGUGCUAAUACCGGAUAAUGUCUUCGGACCACAGAUUUAUCGCCCUUGGAUGGGCCCGCGUUGGAUUAGCUAGUUGGUAGGGUAAAAGCCUACCAAGGCGACGAUCCAUAGCUGGUCUGAGAGGAUGAUCAGCCACACUGGGACUGAGACACGGCCCAGACUCCUACGGGAGGCAGCAGUGGGGAAUAUUGGACAAUGGGCGAAAGCCUGAUCCAGCAAGGCCGCGUGAGUGAUGAAGGCCUUAGGGUUGUAAAGCUCUUUUACCCGGGAUGAUAAUGACAGUACCGGGAGAAUAAGCUCCGGCUAACUCCGUG